RNAcentral lists this ribosomal RNA (271 nucleotides) under uncultured bacterium. Its description in RNAcentral is "partial 16S ribosomal RNA". It matches the Rfam family "Bacterial small subunit ribosomal RNA", at positions 88 to 354 of the family's 1533-position model. The record is from RNAcentral.
CCGGCGACCGGCGCACGGGUGAGUAACACGUAUGCAACCUGCCCUCCGCAGGGGGAUAACCCGGAGAAAUCCGGACUAAUACCGCGUGGUACACCAGUGGGGCAUCCCACGGGUGUUAAAAGGAAGCGAUUCCGGCGGAGGAUGGGCAUGCGGCGCAUUAGCUAGUUGGCGGGGUAACGGCCCACCAAGGCGACGAUGCGUAGGGGUUCUGAGAGGAAGGUCCCCCACACUGGUACUGAGACACGGACCAGACUCCUACGGGAGGCAGCAG